GCCCGGGUAGCUCAGUCGGUAGAGCAGGGGACUGAAAAUCCCCGUGUCGGUGGUUCGAUUCCGCCCCCGGGCACCA
RNAcentral lists this transfer RNA (76 nucleotides) under Anaeromyxobacteraceae bacterium. RNAcentral's name for it is "tRNA-Phe". It matches the Rfam family "tRNA". From Rfam's summary of the family: Transfer RNA (tRNA) molecules are approximately 80 nucleotides in length. Their secondary structure includes four short double-helical elements and three loops (D, anti-codon, and T loops). Lineage: Bacteria; Pseudomonadati; Myxococcota; Myxococcia; Myxococcales; Anaeromyxobacteraceae. RNAcentral also lists the same sequence under 3 other names. The record is from RNAcentral.